RNAcentral lists this ribosomal RNA (468 nucleotides) under uncultured bacterium. RNAcentral describes it as "partial 16S ribosomal RNA". It matches the Rfam family "Bacterial small subunit ribosomal RNA", at positions 28 to 507 of the family's 1533-position model. The record is from RNAcentral.
GACGAACGCUGGCGGCGUGCUUAACACAUGCAAGUCGAACGGAAAGGCCCUGCUUUUGUGGGGUGCUCGAGUGGCGAACGGGUGAGUAACACGUGAGUAACCUGCCCUUGACUUUGGGAUAACUUCAGGAAACUGGGGCUAAUACCGGAUAGGAGCUCCUGCUGCAUGGUGGGGGUUGGAAAGUUUCGGCGGUUGGGGAUGGACUCGCGGCUUAUCAGCUUGUUGGUGGGGUAGUGGCUUACCAAGGCUUUGACGGGUAGCCGGCCUGAGGGGGUGACCGGCCACAUGGGGACUGAGAUACGGCGCAGACGCCUACGGGAGGCAGCAGUGGGGAAUAUUGCACAAUGGGCGGAAGCCUGAUGCGGCAACGCCGCGUGCGGGAUGACGGCCUUCGGGUUGUAAACCGCUUUCGCCUGUGACGAAGCGUGAGUGACGGUAAUGGGUAAAGAAGCACCGGCUAACUACGUG